UACGUAGGGGGCAAGCGUUGUCCGGAAUUAUUGGGCGUAAAGGGCUCGUAGGCGGCUCAGUAAGUCGGCGGUGAAAUCCCGAGGCUCAACCUCGUGACUGCCGUCGAUACUGCUGUGGCUAGAGUAGGGUAGAGGAGAGCGGAAUUCCCGGUGUAGCGGUGAAAUGCGCAGAUAUCGGGAGGAACACCCGUAGCGAAGGCGGCUCUCUGGGCCCAAACUGACGCUGAGGAGCGAAAGCGUGGGGAUCGAACAGG
Molecule: ribosomal RNA, 254 nt
Filed under: uncultured bacterium
Lineage: Bacteria
Description: partial 16S ribosomal RNA
Rfam family: Bacterial small subunit ribosomal RNA
Source: RNAcentral